Molecule: long non-coding RNA, 1019 nt
Filed under: Struthio camelus australis
Lineage: Eukaryota; Metazoa; Chordata; Aves; Struthioniformes; Struthionidae
Description: lncRNA (ENSSCUG00000008620.1)
Source: RNAcentral
CUGCUUCCCAGACCCCUUGCAGCUCCCAACGGUUCACUGCCCUGACUGCCCUACACAGCAGCUGCCUCUGCUCACCUGCAGCUUUCAGGCUUCUGCUGCACCAUGUCCCUUCUCAUCUCAAGACAUAUUUCCUCCUCCUGUUGGCUUGGCCCUGCGGCAUCUGCUGGUGGGAAGCUGUGACAGUGCCCUCCACCAGCUGGUGCUCCCCCCCGGCUGAUUUGGAGGCAGGAGGAACAGGCCUGAGAAACCAGCCCCAAAUGUGAACAUGAGAUCCAGGUCUGGAGUCCGAACAUGUCCUUGUUUCUGUGUGCCUGUUGGGUUUUGGUGUGAUCCAGUUUGAGAGAUGGGGGCCACCAAGAUACAGAGGCCUGCACUGAGAGGCAGAUCUCCACAUCUUUCCCCACCAAACCAGCGCGGCAGAGCCAGCUGCAGCUUCAGUACGGACACUACCCAUUCUUUCCAGAUGGCUUUACAACAGAGCGGUCGCCUGCUGGCCAAAACACAGGGAAAUGAGUCUGGACCUCUAGAACCAAAAACACAAGCCACAGCUUGGACUGAAGAUUCGGAGGUGCUCGCUCUGCAACUUGCCUCUGUAGCGCUUCAUACAGGGGGCUACAGUAGCACGAGCCAUUUCUCAAAGAACAUGUUGCAAGAACGUUAUAAAUUAUGCAGGAUUAAUGUUUAUUUCGAUGGUAGUCACUGUUGGGUAGAUACUCCAUGCCAAAAUAGACAAGCAGAGAAAUUUUGGCUACAUCCGUAAUACUAAACAAAAUGAGGCUGCUCGUGUGAAGCCCCUGAGGACAUAGCGAAAUAAUUGCCUUGUUUGUGGGCUUUUCCAGUUCAAAGGGUCUGAAAUAGCAUGGUGACUGGCCUGCAGGCUGUCAGAGUGGUGUUUUCAUAGUAUGAAACUGAACCUGUAUGUUACAUGUGGGCGUAGGAGACAGAGGAAUUGAGACUUCAUGUCUCAGACUUUAAAAACCAAAAAUAAACAUGGCCCUAUUGAAGAGUCUGUGUGUUUU